UCCAGUUUAUGUUACUCUAUUUAUGUUAAAAAAGUAUUAUUUCUGUGCCUCCAUUUGAAGUAGGAAUGGACAUGGUAGAUUCCAUGAAUUUCCAACAACUAAAGGAAGUAGAACCUGAAGGGUUGCUGAGAAAUUCUGCACAAAGGACUUGAUCCCAAACAACAAAGUAGCUUGUGAAGAUGAAUGGCUUUCUGCAAAGACAACUCAGACUUAGCUCUUCUGGCAUCAUUCUGCUCUUCCAUAGAGAGACAGUGCUUCCUCCACCUGAAAAACAAAUGGACUCUGCAUCUCCCAGGAAAUGCAAGGCCAUGAACUCCAGUCCCGCUGCCCAUGGCACCUGCAUACAGGGGAACCACCGUGCUUUUGGCACUGUGAGCCUGCUGCUUGAGCUGAUGGAGAGGCACGUGGGAACACGCCAAGUGCGCUUCCUGGAAGGGUAAUGCAGCAAAAGAUCUCGCUUGCUGCAAGAACCUAUUUAGCUGGGGCACGGUCCAGCCUUUACUGCAGUCAACAGAAGUCGUUCGUGUGUGAGACAGAUGGCUGUGGGAGAGCUGAAAGAGGUCUCGGGCCAGACGGGCCCCAGGGCGCUGAGCCCCAGCUCCGAAACAGAGCCCUGGGAGGACUGCAGCCCCCGCCUGUUUUCGGCACCACCCACGGCACCACCAAGACGCAUGCAGCGACCAUCAGCCGCCCUCGCCCCUUGCCGUCCUGCCCACGCUGCAGCAGAACACGGAGCCAGGACGAGGCCCGGGGGUACCCGGCCCUAGCAACCCCGGCACCGGCGACGCCCC
This is a long non-coding RNA of Cygnus olor (mute swan), 791 nucleotides long. RefSeq lists it as uncharacterized. The record is from RefSeq and is a predicted model, not a curated record. The transcript has 4 exons. NCBI's taxonomy places the organism in Eukaryota, Metazoa, Chordata, Aves, Anseriformes, Anatidae.